Non-coding RNA from Cyanistes caeruleus (blue tit), 1498 nucleotides. The record is from RefSeq and is a predicted model, not a curated record. NCBI's taxonomy places the organism in Eukaryota, Metazoa, Chordata, Aves, Passeriformes, Paridae.
CCCGCCGCUCCCCGGAGCGUUCGGAAGCCGCUGGGGCCGGCGCUGAGCCUCGAUGUGUGCGGGCUGCAGCCUCGCGGAGACCCCGCGUGGACACGGGCCUGACAGAGCAGAGGAGCGGUGGCACCGUCCCGGCGUGCCGGGCCACAGCGGCUGCCGGGCCGGAGCAGCGCAGCCCAGGGAGCUCUGCUGCCACGGCAGAAAACAACUGAAAUCACCGCAGGUGCCCUUUCUUGGGGACAUCCUUGCUCUUGUGUUUUAUAGUCUGCAGGAGCCGUAAUAACUUCACACAGAAUCGUAGAAUAUUUUGAGUUGGAAGGGAUCCAGAGGGAUCAUUAAGUCCAGCUCUUGAGUGGCCCAUACAGGGAUCAGAUUGCCACCUUGGUGUUAUCAGCACCCCGCUCUAACCAACUCGCAAGUAUAUAUAUUCUUCAAUGAAAAAUCGUUUUUAUAUGGUAUUGUAGGAUUUCUAUUUUUUUGCCUCUUUUGCUUAUAAAGACUUAUAAAGGUCUUUUCAGGAAAUGCAGGUGCAACUAUAGAAAGAAACUAAUGAAGGACCACUCAGAAAGUUUUUUGUUAAUGCGGUAUUUUGAUAUACCCCCAAACCUUAAAAAUUAAAAUAAAUCCAGGCAGUCUCCCUAAUGCUCCUCAGAAACAGAGUGAGGCAAAAAAAAGGGGCUUUUGAGUUGAUGUGUCAGCUUUAAAACUAACAUUUCUAAUAGCAAGGUUGUUGAAAUUUCAUUUUCAUUUUUCUUCAUAUGCAUAUUCUAAUUAACUUUUGCUCACAAUUAUAUCACUAUUCCAUCAUCAGAUUAAAAACUAACCCAUUUUUCUGCUUUUUUUUUUAAAAAGAAGCAACAAGAGUAAAUUGUUAAGUAACUUGAACAGACUCAACUCAAAUUCUGAAUUCCAACUAGUUAGCAAUUUUACUUAAAAGUUUCUUUUGGUAAUGGGGGGAGCCCACAACUUUUGUUGAAAGUUUCACUGGGAAAGACUUCUGAGUUUCCAGAUGGAAUUUCUAGUAAGAACAAGUGAGAUAAUGACUCUGAAAUAGUCUCGUUUGAGAUGUGGGAGUUUCAGAUUUGUGUUCCAUGCUCCUGCUUUGCCUGUUCCAGGCCUUCCCACGUCUUGCAGAAAUAGACUAAGGAUUGGAAUAGAAAACUGGUAUCUGGUUUUCUAGACAAAUUAAAGUUUAACUAUUUGUCAACCCAAAUGUUCCAAAAAAAGAGAAUGAUAGAAAACCUUUCUUGUUCCUUUUCUUCUGCUAAAUCUCCUGUUUCACAGUAACUAUUUCCAAAGUGCCUAUGUAUGCAAUACUGUUAACACCACAUAAGCCUGUUUCAUUUUAAUUUUAUUGUGUAGCAGCUGUGUUCAGAAACCUUUAAUGCAGCACUGUCACAUGGGUAUUUUGGAUUUUAUUGUUGGAACUGAUUUGAGCAGUUACCUAUAUUGUAACCAUGAUCCCCCCUAGAAAUGUGAGUGAAAAUGGAGUUAACUUGAA